RNAcentral lists this long non-coding RNA (2805 nucleotides) under Homo sapiens (human). RNAcentral's name for it is "HSALNT0308481". The record is from RNAcentral. Lineage: Eukaryota; Metazoa; Chordata; Mammalia; Primates; Hominidae.
AGUCGCCAACACACAUCCCUGCGCACACGUUGUCGGGUUUGCUGUCCCCUAUCAGAGACCUGCCGAACUUCUGGGGUUCGGAGGAGCCGGGUGGGAAGGUGGUUUGGGGUGUUAGGAGCGAUUGCUGACAGGGACCACGUUCUCGCAUGCAUGAGCUCUACCCACUUGAUACCUGAAAUCAGGUUCAUCUGUUUCAACUGGUGCUUAUGACCAUCGGAUGGGGGGCGGGGGAGGGUGGGCAGGAGCAAAGCGGAGUGUUUUUCAGUAAUUAGCGAGUGUCAAUAAAGAAUAGGAGCUUGAUUUUGAGAUUAGAAGGUAGGCAAAAGAGAGAAGAGCCCACUGACAAAAGAUACUCAAGGAGGACGGGAAGAUGUAGCUGAGGCUGACAAUGAAUUGUAGGUUUUCCCAGUGUGAUCCCUCCAGAAAGAGAACACCCUCUAUGCGUGUCCUUGUUUCUCUUUUUUGUUUAGGGUCCUUCUCUAGUUAGGCAGCACAACCUCGGACAAAGGCUGAUGUGUGCUUCCAUGCCUUUGACUUUGUCUUAGAGGACUAGUUAAGAAACUCCCAGGAUGCUGAAGGGCACCGAUGCCAAGUUGGCUAGCCGUCCCAGGGAGGAUGAAGUGGGGCUGGUGACAAGUUCACUGGGCUUUGUGAAGUGGAAUAAAGAAAGUGCUGGUCAGUGGAAAGUGCUGGCUCUGCUGCGGAAACAGUGGUUUUUUUCAGCAGCGAUUAGGAGCUGCUGAGGGGACAUUCUGCAGGAAAGAUGGUGGGUGGGGGCGGGGGGACACGGGUAUUUAAAAAUUGUACAGUGUGCACCAUGGAAAGUCCAAGAAGACAGUCCGGAUUUGCACAUAGGAAGUGUGAACUUGUACAGUCCGUCCUGGAGAAACCCGCUUGCCCUUGGGGGGAGGGCUGUGAGAGGCUCGGUGUGUGGCUGCUCGUGUAAUUUCUUCGCUUAGUGACAGCAGCUUGUUAAGGCUAAUGAACGGCUGAAUUUCCUCUGCCGGGAUCCAAAGCAGGAUUUGCCAGCUUGAGGCUGAGAUGUAACAGUCUCUGCUUUAGCAAAAGAGGUUUGGCUUUUGGUAUAAGGAGCCGAGUGGCAAGGCGGAUCCUUUAACUGUACCAUUGUUGCUAGUUCACUUCUGGUCAGAGGCUGUGAGUUUUCCUCCAGGUAUUGGCGUCUGGUGUCUCUGUGUCCACACAUGCAUUCUUGUCCAAGGACGCUAGCAGAUGCUUGACUCUGUCUCUCUGUAAACACAUACACAGUUCACAUAUUUUUAGAAUAAAGUCUUUCUUCAAUGCAUCCUUUUCCUUAUCCUUAACGAGAGUGUGUCUCAUGAAGGGUCUCACUGGAUCUUUUUCUUCCUUUUAUUUCCAAUGCUAAUUAAACCAAAAUCUUCUGAAAUAGCCUUCAUUUCACACUGUCAGCCCACUGGCCUGGGCUGCCAGGUGCUAUAUCAGCCAGGAAAACAAAGCAAACUGUAGGGUCUGUCCAUCCGUAGGUUUGCCUCAGUCCCCAAUUCGCAGAUAGCCUUGUCAUGAAUUAGAAUUUCUUGGCAACAGCACCACCCAGGGAAAUUUGUAGACACAAAGGAGCCUUGCUAGCCACACUGAAAGGAUAAAAUAACUGUUUUUUUUUGGUAUGUGAUUUGUGUGUUCUUCAGUUACUGUAAAUCUGUUUCUUUAUUUGAAACAGCAACUUGGUAGAUGAAAUAAAAAUAUAACUGCCCGUUACCCAGAAUUUAUCUUUAUGAAGAUGCAAUCACUAAAUAGAUGUAACUCUACAAAUGAAAGCACAUGUGACUGCAAUCAAUCACACACUUAGCCUUUAAUAGAUUCAUUUCCAUGUUCCUUUAACAGACACAUCUUUGUGUAGAUUUAGGGGCUUCAAACAUUAUCAUUCAGUCUACCUGUUUGCAGUUUGGUAUUUUAAAGUGGGCAAACAUUAUAAUGCAGUUAUUUUUUACUACAUCUGUCCUUAGUAGGGGGAAAAGGAGGUCACUAUUCUUUGUUCUCCAUGAACUUCCCACCCCCACUCCUUACCCUGAGGAGAAUGGGAUGUUGGGGUCCCAUCCAUUUAAAAGGCAGAGCAGAAGAUGCAAGAUGACAGCCUUGCCCUGAAAUGAUUUAUGUAUGGGUGUGUCAGAGACCUUAAGCAUCCAAAUGUGGGCUGCUUCUUUCUGCCAGCCCAUUCUAAACAUAAAUGCCAGUGGGGGCUAAUUUGCCUCUCUACUUAAAUGGAGAUAGUUCAGAGAGGGUCCUAAUGGGGCCUUUAAUAGCCAUUCUUUUAUGAAUCUUCACAUUGUACUCUCUUCAGAGAAUUCUUGCGUUUUAACUUUUGGAGUACAAGAAGACAUUGCAAUCUUCUUUAAUUGCUCUCUGUGCCUGUUGAGGAAAGAAGAAUACAAUUUCCUCUGGCCAGUCCCAUCUGGCUCAAGUUGAUAGGAUAGCUGGUCUGAUUCCAGACGGGGUCGGUGGAUACCCCUUAUCUUUUCAUUUUAUAGUAUUGUGCAAUGGGCUUUUAAUUAUCUUUGCUGGACCCCACGACUGGCAAAUGCAGAAAAUCGCUCUGUGAUUCCAGUUCACUCGAUAUAUCAGUUAGCCUAUGUGUUAGAACUGCGAUUUGCUGAAAGUUUAGGACAGCUCCCCAACUUAACUUGAAUGGUGCCAGAGGAUAUUUCCCUGGGUUUCAGGCCCUCAUUUUUUUCUAACCAGAAAUAAGCAACAAGCAAGAUGGGCUUUGGGGUUGUUCUACCAUCACUUCAGCUGAAUAUGUCCUAAACCCCUAACUCAUCAACUUCUUCC